CAACACCCAGCCGUAGCACGCACAAUGUUUCCCUCACCCAGAAGCAGUAAAACACACAGCUUUCCCUUCUUCUUGAACAAAGAAAAAACAAAGCAGAAAGGGGAAAGGGAGACUGAGUUGCGGCAAGGACGAGAAGAGAAGAGGGAGGGGCGCCGGCACAGGUGGGCCUCGCCACCACCGUCGCUGCCGAACGGAUACACACAGAGAGAGAGGGAGCUUGUGCCUCAUCGCCAUCACCCAUGGAGCCACGAGUUGUGCCCAGUCACCGCCGCGUCGUGUCGAGGAGGAAGGCCGAGACUGAGUGACGCUGGGAGAGAAGAAGACGCGAGCUGGAGGAGCUGCGUCCAGUCACUGCUGUCGCGCCACUGACCGCCACCGUUCUGCCGUCGCCGUUGAUGGAGUUUUGCCAGGAGAGAGGAGACGCACAAGGAGGAACUCGACGUGCGUGAAGGAUAAGGGGAGAGGUCCGAGGCUGGGAUGGUUCCCAUCACUGUCGUCUACCUCCGUCGCUGCCACUCUGCUGCUCUGCGGUGCUUAGCUGGAGCUUCUACUACUGUUGCCGGAGAUCUGUGGUUGUCGGAAAACACCACUAUUGUUGCUACCGAAGGAGGAGAAAGCCUUGCCGCUGUUUAGGCCGCCAAGAGCAGUCUUGUGGCCACCGGAACCACCGUCGAAGCUUCUGGCCGCUUCUACCGCUUGAGGUAGCUGCCGGGCUGCCGCCGAACCAGUUCGGAGACCUCCACUGUUCGGUUUAGCCGUUCCUUCUUUGUUUUGAGUUGCAGUGGUUACUGCGAAAGUGGCUUGGAUCUGAGGCUAUGGUUGUCGGUGAUUCCGGGUUGAGAGAGAAGGUUCCUGUGACGCGUUUGGGUUAUGGUUUUGCAUAGUGAGGAUAUGGACGCAGAAGUCACGAAGAGCUUAUCUAGUUGUUGUCGUGAUGUUUUGUAUUGCUUUAGUUAUUGUUUAUUGUUCCCUCGCCUUUAUCUUUAUAUAUUCUGUAAGAGGGAUAGGAAUUGUAUUGGUUGAUGCUUGUAAAACUAUUUAAUAUAUA
Molecule: long non-coding RNA, 1048 nt
Organism: Arachis duranensis
Lineage: Eukaryota; Viridiplantae; Streptophyta; Magnoliopsida; Fabales; Fabaceae
Exons: 3
Source: RefSeq, a predicted model, not a curated record